UACGGAGGGAGCUAGCGUUGUUCGGAAUUACUGGGCGUAAAGCGCACGUAGGCGGCUUUUUAAGUCAGAGGUGAAAUCCCGGGGCUCAACCUCGGAACUGCCUUUGAAACUGGAAAGCUAGAAUCUUGGAGAGGCGAGUGGAAUUCCGAGUGUAGAGGUGAAAUUCGUAGAUAUUCGGAAGAACACCAGUGGCGAAGGCGUCUCGCGGGACAAGUAUUGACGAUGAGGUGCGAAAGCGUGGGGAGCAAACAGG
This 253-nucleotide ribosomal RNA is filed under the name uncultured bacterium. RNAcentral describes it as "partial 16S ribosomal RNA". It matches the Rfam family "Bacterial small subunit ribosomal RNA", at positions 524 to 776 of the family's 1533-position model. The record is from RNAcentral.